CGUGCUUUAUACAUGCAAGUCAAGGAGAACGUUUUCUUCGGAAAGCAAGUAAACUGGCGAACGGGUUAGUAACGCGUAGGUAACCUGCCCUAGUGAUCGGGAUAACUCUGUGAAAACGGGGCUAAUACCGGAUAAUAUCUACUCUCUCUGGAGUUUAGAUCAAAGUAGGCUUCGGCUUACACAUUAGGAUGGGCCUGCGUCUGAUUAGCUAGUUGGUAAGGUAAUGGCUUACCAAGGCUACGAUCAGUAGGUGGUUCGAGAGGAUGAUCACCAACACUGGGACUGAGAUACGGCCCAGACUUCUACGGGAGGCAGCAGUAAGGAAUUUUGCGCAAUGGCCGAAAGGUUGACGCAGCAACGCCGCGUGAUUGAAGAAGGUUUUAGGACUGUAAAGAUCUGUCAUAAGGGAAGAAAUGUAUUUAUUCUAACAAAAUAUUUGCUUGACGGUACCUUAUUAGAAAGCUCCGGCUAACUUCGUGCCAGCAGCCGCGGUAAUACGAGGGGAGCAAGCGUUGUCCGGAUUUAUUGGGCGUAAAGAGUUCGUAGGCUGAUUUAUAAGUCGAAAUUGAAAUCCAAUGGCUUAACCAUUGACACGGUUUCGAUACUGUAAAUCUUGAAUUAUGCAGAGGUAAGUGGAAUUCCUGGUGUAGCGGUGAAAUGCGUAGAUAUCAGGAGGAACACCAAAGGCGAAGGCAACUUACUGGGCAUCAAUUGACGCUGAGGAACGAAAGCGUGGGUAGCAAACAGGAUUAGAGACCCUGGUAGUCCACGCCGUAAACGAUGAGUACUUGGUGGUGGAAGAUUCGACCCUUUCACUGUCGGAGUUAACGCGUUAAGUACUCCGCCUGGGGACUACGGCCGCAAGGCUGAAACUCAAAGGAAUUGACGGGGACCCGCACAAGCGGUGGA
RNAcentral lists this ribosomal RNA (909 nucleotides) under marine metagenome. RNAcentral's name for it is "bacterial SSU rRNA". It matches the Rfam family "Bacterial small subunit ribosomal RNA", at positions 43 to 936 of the family's 1533-position model. The record is from RNAcentral.